AGCAGCCGCGGUAAUUCCAGCUCCAAUAGCGUAUAUUAAAGUUGCUGCAGUUAAAAAGCUCGUAGUUGAAUUUCGGGAUCAGUUGGUCGGUCGUGCCUCGGUACGUACUGGUCAAAUUGAUUCCUACCUUCUGACGAACCACGAUGUCAUUAAUUUGGUGUCGCGGGAAAUCAGGACUGUUACUUUGAAAAAAUUAGAGUGUUUAAAGCAGGCUCGCGCUUGAAUACAUUAGCAUGGAAUAAUGAAAUAGGACGUUUGAUUCUAUUUUGUUGGUUUCUAGGAUCGACGUAAUGAUUAAUAGGGAUAGUUGGGGGCAUUAGUAUUCAAUUGUCAGAGGUGAAAUUCUUGGAUUUAUUGAAGACUAACUACUGCGAAAGCAUUUGCCAAGGAUGUUUUCAUUAAUCAAGAACGAAAGUUAGGGGAUCGAAGACGAUCAGAUACCGUCGUAGUCUUAACCAUAAACUAUGCCGACUAGGGAUCGGAUGAUGUUAAUUUUUUAAUGACUCAUUCGGCGCCUUAC
This 520-nucleotide unclassified non-coding RNA is filed under the name uncultured Glomus. RNAcentral's name for it is "SSU rRNA". It matches the Rfam family "Eukaryotic small subunit ribosomal RNA", at positions 569 to 1091 of the family's 1831-position model. The record is from RNAcentral. Lineage: Eukaryota; Fungi; Glomeromycota; Glomeromycetes; Glomerales; Glomeraceae.